Molecule: ribosomal RNA, 467 nt
Filed under: uncultured bacterium
Lineage: Bacteria
Description: partial 16S ribosomal RNA
Rfam family: Bacterial small subunit ribosomal RNA
Source: RNAcentral
ACGAACGCUGGCGGCGUGCUUAACACAUGCCAGUCGAACGGAAAGGCCCUGCUUUUGUGGGGUGCUCGAGUGGCGAACGGGUGAGUAACACGUGAGUAACCUGCCCUUGACUUUGGGAUAACUUCAGGAAACUGGGGCUAAUACCGGAUAGGAGCUCCUGCUGCAUGGUGGGGGUUGGAAAGUUUCGGCGGUUGGGGAUGGACUCGCGGCUUAUCAGCUUGUUGGUGGGGUAGUGGCUUACCAAGGCAUUGACGGGUAGCCGGCCUGAGAGGGUGACCGGCCACAUUGGGACUGAGAUACGGCCCAGACUCCUACGGGAGGCAGCAGUGGGGAAUAUUGCACAAUGGGCGGAAGCCUGAUGCAGCAACGCCGCGUGCGGGAUGACGGCCUUCGGGUUGUAAACCGCUUUCGCCUGUGACGAAGCGUGAGUGACGGUAAUGGGUAAAGAAGCACCGGCUAACUACGUG